CAAAGGGAGCAAUCCCGGCCACGGAUGGGCAUGCGGCGCAUUAGCUAGUCGGCGGGGUAACGGCCCACCGAGGCGACGAUGCGUAGGGGUUCUGAGAGGAAGGCCCCCCACACUGGUACUGAGACACGGACCAGACUCCUACGGGAGGCAGCAGUGAGGAAUAUUGGUCAAUGGGCGCGAGCCUGAACCAGCCAAGUCGCGUGAGGGAGGACGGCCCUACGGGUUGUAAACCUCUUUUGCCGGGGAGCAACGGGCGUCACGUGUGGCGCCACUGAGAGUACCCGGAGAAAAAGCAUCGGCUAACUCCGUGCCAGCAGCCGCGGUAAUACGGAGGAUGCGAGCGUUAUCCGGAUUUAUUGGGUUUAAAGGGUGCGUAGGCGGAUCGUUAAGUCAGUGGUCAAAUUGAGGGGCUCAACCCCUUCCCGCCAUUGAAACUGGCGUUCUUGAGUGGAAGAGAAGUAUGCGGAAUGCGUGGUGUAGCGGUGAAAUGCAUAGAUAUCACGCAGAACCCCGAUUGCGAAGGCAGCAUGCCGGCUUCCGACUGACGCUGAAGCACGAAAGCGUGGGGAUCGAACAGGAUUAGAUACCCUGGUAGUCCACGCGGUAAACGAUGAGCGCUAGGUGUCCGGGGGGAAUGGCCCCUGG
This 645-nucleotide ribosomal RNA is filed under the name uncultured bacterium. Its description in RNAcentral is "bacterial SSU rRNA". It matches the Rfam family "Bacterial small subunit ribosomal RNA", at positions 202 to 842 of the family's 1533-position model. The record is from RNAcentral.